AGUGAACGCUGGCGGUAGGCCUAACACAUGCAAGUCGAACGGCAGCACAGUAAGAGCUUGCUCUUACGGGUGGCGAGUGGCGGACGGGUGAGGAAUACAUCGGAAUCUACUUUUUCGUGGGGGAUAACGUAGGGAAACUUACGCUAAUACCGCAUACGACCUACGGGUGAAAGCAGGGGAUCUUCGGACCUUGCGCGAUUGAAUGAGCCGAUGUCGGAUUAGCUAGUUGGCGGGGUAAAGGCCCACCAAGGCGACGAUCCGUAGCUGGUCUGAGAGGAUGAUCAGCCACACUGGAACUGAGACACGGUCCAGACGCCUACGGGAGGCAGCAGUGGGGAAUAUUGGACAAUGGGCGCAAGCCUGAUCCAGCCAUACCGCGUGGGUGAAGAAGGCCUUCGGGUUGUAAAGCCCUGUUGUUGGGAAAGAAAAGCAGCAGGUUAAUACCCCGCUGUUCUGACGGUACCCAAAGAAUAAGCACCGGCUAACUUCGUG
This 492-nucleotide ribosomal RNA is filed under the name uncultured bacterium. RNAcentral's name for it is "partial 16S ribosomal RNA". It matches the Rfam family "Bacterial small subunit ribosomal RNA", at positions 29 to 507 of the family's 1533-position model. The record is from RNAcentral.